GGAAGCUGCCUUAUGGGGCGUAUGACAGUGGGUGGGGUGGGGUUGCUGGCCAGACAAGGAGAGAGGAACUGAGAGAGGUCCUGGAGGGGGAAAGAUUAAAGCAGCGGCCCCAGCAACUGAUUCCUUCUCUUCAUAGUUUCUUUCCCCUUUGCUCAAUCCCCUCCUUCCUAUCCUCCAAUAUCUCAGCCCGCCUCUACUCCCAAGCCAGUCACUGCUGCCUCCUCCAGCACCUGGAAAGGAUAAAUGCUGCUCUAACGCUACCUCUCUGGUCACUGGAGGGAAGCAGGGGGCUCAGGAGUCUGUUCUCUUCAUGCCUUUACCAGAUCCUGAAUCAGGGUGAGUAACUAAGUGAUUUUCCCCCAAGUACACCAGUCCAUGGGGGUUUGAAACCAG
This 393-nucleotide long non-coding RNA is filed under the name Cavia porcellus (domestic guinea pig). RNAcentral's name for it is "lncRNA (ENSCPOG00000033657.1)". The record is from RNAcentral. Lineage: Eukaryota; Metazoa; Chordata; Mammalia; Rodentia; Caviidae.